GAAAAUGGUCUAACAUUUAUGGUGGAUGAAAUCUUGACUAACAUUAUAAGUGGACCCGAAGUCUAAUAGACGUCUAAAAGAGAGACAGAUGUAGAAAAUGAAACUGGGAACCCAUCAGGGGAACAGGAACAGGCACGAGCAGGUGAUUCAUGAUUUCUUCCUGGUUUCUGUGGUUUGGAGGCUGGAGGUGAUGAUAAUCUUACCGGCUGCGGCUGCUCGGCGAUACAGCAGUUGAAGCACAACCAGAAUUCACUCAUGACUCGCAGAAAGUCUGUCCUAAAGUGCCGCUUUGCCCGUGGGCCCUGAGGGGCUCUGGCGGCUCUGGACGGGGCACAAAUCUCGUGUUUCCAAGGUCCGAUCUGAGAUGAUGGAGGAGUUCUUCAGCCUGAGGAUCCAGGGAACGGAGAGCAGGAAGACAGCGAUGGCAGAGAUCCAGACGGGAAGCCUGUGUAUGGCUCAGUCCACUUAGCAAACACUCAGACCUGCGGGACACAACAAGAUGCUGUCAGAUCAUUUACACAUGCGGACGUCUUUUAAUGUUUGGAUGCAACAUUUGGAAGUGUUUGGAAGAUCUGUCAUCAUUCGUUUGGCCGAAAGUGUAGCCACACUAUAAACCUGAUUAAAACCUGACAUUAAACCUUCUGGAAAAUCAAGGAAAGAUUGUCCCGUGAGACAGCAAGGUGGUGGACACGUGCUGGUGCAUCCUGUGCUGAGGACACGUAGUGCUCAAACGUCUAUGGAAAUGAAGCUUGGAACAGAGCUGGUCUCUGUGCAGUGUCUUCCGCUGCUAAAAUUAUCAGUGCAUUUUAAUACGCUUUGAUUCCUUUAUUAAUGUGACAGUGUCUAGCAGCUCCGCACUAUCUAUUCAUCCUGGAUUCAUCAAAUAAAGAUCUGAAAGUUGACAGGAUGUGAGAUAAUUUCAGACUGAACUAUAUCCACCACAUGCUGUGACUGAACUUAAUCUGAGAAAUGUUAGAAAUGUGGCACAACAUUAGUCCUGAGUGCAACAUGAUUUUGGUCUCCGAAGAAAAUGAUUCAAUUUAAAAAAAUGAACAUGUGCGACUCAAGUUAAUUUAGUCAACUUUUUGGUGUAGAUUACCUCGAAUCAAACAGACACGGGCUAAAACAAACACAAAUUCUGCAGGAAAAACACAGCGUGAGCUCAACCCAUCUCCAAUUCCUCCUGUUGGAAUAAAAGGAGUUUUUUGAAUGACAGGAUGGGAUGCACACAGAAAACACUCCAUUAGCGGUGAGCGCAUUGAAAGAGACUGUCAGAGCAAGAAAGGCCUCUGUGUGAGGGGUCAGAGGAAGACCCUGUUCCCAGGGUAUAUGCCACACAAUGACAGAAAUCACCCACGGGAGAGAUUUUGCCAUACCAUACUGCAGUAAAUAUAACCGGCGAUUAUAUAGGACUGCAGUAUUCUUUUACACCAGGUGUGAAGGCAGCUCAUUCAAUCAGAACUAUCUAUUAUAAUUGCAAUCUUUUGUUCAGAACUCAAGUGUUACGUGAUAUAACACAAAGCUGUUUUGCACAGAUGUUAGUCUGGUUAUCCAUCUUUUGCUGUGCAGCCAUCAAGUUUAAAAUAAAAG
Long non-coding RNA from Cyprinus carpio carpio, 1590 nucleotides. NCBI's taxonomy places the organism in Eukaryota, Metazoa, Chordata, Actinopteri, Cypriniformes, Cyprinidae. The record is from Ensembl.